Molecule: ribosomal RNA, 497 nt
Filed under: uncultured bacterium
Lineage: Bacteria
Description: partial 16S ribosomal RNA
Rfam family: Bacterial small subunit ribosomal RNA
Source: RNAcentral
GAUGAACGCUGGCGGCGUGCCUAAUACAUGCAAGUCGAGCGAACAGACGAGGAGCUUGCUCCUCUGACGUUAGCGGCGGACGGGUGAGUAACACGUGGAUAACCUACCUAUAAGACUGGGAUAACUUCGGGAAACCGGAGCUAAUACCGGAUAAUAUAUUGAACCGCAUGGUUCAAUAGUGAAAGACGGUUUUGCUGUCACUUAUAGAUGGAUCCGCGCCGCAUUAGCUAGUUGGUAAGGUAACGGCUUACCAAGGCGACGAUGCGUAGCCGACCUGAGAGGGUGAUCGGCCACCCUGGAACUGAACCACGGUCCAGACUCCUACGGGAGGCAGCAGUAGGGAAUCUUCCGCAAUGGGCGAAAGCCUGACGGAGCAACGCCGCGUGAGUGAUGAAGGUCUUCGGAUCUUAAAACUCUGUUAUUAGGGAAGAACAAAUGUGUAAGUAACUAUGCACGUCUUGACGGUACCUAAUCAGAAAGCCACGGCUAACUACGUG